AGCUAAUAGUUCUCUCUGUGCUCAACACAUUACCAACACAUUUAACGUCCUUCCAAGUUUCAACAUUAAUUCUUUAUACGAGUUUAGACAAUAGUGAAAAGGAUGAGUUGGCAUGAGAAAAUAAUUUUUUUUUUUGUUUUUGGUAAAAAAUAUGAUUACAAAGUUUCUGAAAAUCGUUUAGUGUUGUUAGUUUGUUAGCUGUAAAUUAAUAAUAACUGCUUACAAUGUAUAUUUAAUUUGUUC
This 243-nucleotide long non-coding RNA is filed under the name Capsella rubella. RNAcentral's name for it is "long non-coding RNA (CRUB_LNC001228)". Lineage: Eukaryota; Viridiplantae; Streptophyta; Magnoliopsida; Brassicales; Brassicaceae. The record is from RNAcentral.